UACGUAGGUGGCGAGCGUUGUCCGGAUUUACUGGGCGUAAAGGGAGCGUAGGCGGACUUUUAAGUGAGAUGUGGAAUACUCGGGCUCAACUUGAGUGCUGCAUUUCAAACUGGAAGUCUAGAGUGCAGGAGAGGAGAAUGGAAUUCCUAGUGUAGCGGUGAAAUGCGUAGAGAUUAGGAAGAACACCAGUGGCGAAGGCGACUCUCUGGACUGUAACUGACGCUGAGGCUCGAAAGCGUGGGAAGCAAACAGG
Molecule: ribosomal RNA, 253 nt
Filed under: uncultured bacterium
Lineage: Bacteria
Description: partial 16S ribosomal RNA
Rfam family: Bacterial small subunit ribosomal RNA
Source: RNAcentral